RNAcentral lists this ribosomal RNA (258 nucleotides) under uncultured bacterium. RNAcentral describes it as "partial 16S ribosomal RNA". It matches the Rfam family "Bacterial small subunit ribosomal RNA", at positions 524 to 777 of the family's 1533-position model. The record is from RNAcentral.
UACGUAGGGGGCGAGCGUUGUCCGGAGUUACUGGGCGUAAAGCGCUUGUAGGCGGUCCACCAAGUUUGGGGGUGACAGUUGCCGACUUAAUCGGCAAAGUGCCUCAAAGACUGGCGGACUUGAGGGCCACAGAGGGACAUGGAACUCCAGGUGUAGUGGUGAAAUGCGUAGAUAUCUGGAAGAACACCAAAAGGCGAAGGCAGUGUCCUGGGUGGUCGCUGACGCUGAGAGGCGAAAAGCCAGGGGGAGCGAACGGGG